Molecule: ribosomal RNA, 440 nt
Filed under: uncultured bacterium
Lineage: Bacteria
Description: partial 16S ribosomal RNA
Rfam family: Bacterial small subunit ribosomal RNA
Source: RNAcentral
CCUACGGGUGGCAGCAGUGGGGAAUAUUGCACAAUGGGGGAAACCCUGAUGCAGCGAAGCCGCGUGAGUGAAGAAUUAAUUCGGUAUGUAAAGCUCUAUCAGCCGGGAAGAAAAUGACGGUACCUGAGUAAUAAGCCCCGGCUAACUACGUGCCAGCCGCCGCGGUAAUACGUAGGGGGCAAGCGUUAUCCGGAUUUACUGGGGGUAAAGGGAGCGUAGACGGCAGUGCAAGUCUGGAGUGAAAUGCGGGGGCUCAACCCCCGGACUGCUCUGGAAACUGUACGGCUGGAGUGCAGGAGAGGUAAGUGGAAUGCCUAGUGUAGCGGUGAAAUGCGUAGAUAUUAGGAGGAACACCAGUGGCGAAGGCGGCUUACUGGACUGCAACUGACGUUGAGGCUCGAAAGCGUGGGGAGCAAACAGGAUUAGAUACCCUUGUAGUC